GAAAGUAAGCAAGGGCGUACGGGGGAUGCCUAGGCUCUUGGAGGCGAAGAAGGACGUGUUAAGCUGCGAAAAGCUGCGGGGAUUUGCAAAAGAGAGUUGAUCCGCAGAUAUCCGAAUGGGGCAACCCGGCAGAUAGGAGAUCUGUCACAUCGAGAGAUGAGCGAACCCUAUGAACUGAAACAUCUAAGUAAUAGGAGGAGGAGAAAGAAACAUCGAUUUCCCGAGUAGUGGCGAGCGAAAAGGAAAUAGCCCAAACCGGUGUUGUUACGGCAACGUCGGGGUUGUAGGACUGCGAAAUCUUAAUACGAACGAACGGGAACAUGCUGGAAAGCGUGACCAUAGAGGGUGAAAGUCCCGUACCGGUAAGUUGCGUAAGCGGAAGCAGUAUCCUGAGUAUGGCGGGACACGAGGAAUCCUGUCAGAAACCGCGGGGACCACCCCGCAAGGCUAAAUACUCCCAAGAGACCGAUAGUGGACCAGUACCGUGAGGGAAAGGUGAAAAGUACCCCGAACAGGGGAGUGAAAAAGAACCUGAAACCGUACGCUUACAACCUGUCGGAGCGGCUUAGUGCCGUGACGGCGUGCCUUUUGCAUAAUGAGCCUACGAGUUACUAAUCACUAGCGAGGUUAAGGGCUAUAAGGUCCGGAGCCGAAGCGAAAGCGAGUCUGAAUAGGGCGCAAAGUUAGUGGUUGUAGACGCGAAACCUUGCGAUCUACCCAUGAGCAGGAUGAAAGUUGGGUAAAACCACCUGGAGGUCCGCACCGGUAAACGUUGAAAAGUUUUCGAUGACUUGUGGGUAGGGGUGAAAGGCUAAUCAAGCUGGGAAAUAGCUCGUACUCCCCGAAAUGCUUUUAGGAGCAGCGUUGCAAUAGUAUACUGGAGGUAGAGCUACUGAUUGGAUGCGGGGGCUUCACCGCCUACCAAAUCCUGACAAACUCCGAAUGCCAGUAUUAUGUUUUGCAGCAGUGAGCCGCUGGGUGCUAAUGUCCGGCGACAAAAGAGGAACAACUCAGACCAUCAUCUAAGGCCCCGAAGAAUACACUAAGUUGAACUAACGAUGUGCGACUGCAGCGACAGCUAGGAUGUUAGCUUGGAAGCAGCUAUUCAUUUAAAGAGUGCGUAACAGCUCACUAGUCGAGCGGUUGUGCGUGGAUAAUAAACGGGCAUCAAGUGUAUCGCCGAAGCUAUGGACUCUACGGAGUGGUAGGGGAGCAUUCCAUCGACGUUGAAGCCGUGUCGUAAGGCAUGGUGGAGUUUAUGGAAAAGCAAAUGUAGGCAUAAGUAACGAUAAGGCGGGAGAGAAACCCGCCCACCGCAAGACCAAGGUUUCCUGAUCAACGCUAAUCGGAUCAGGGUUAGUCGGGUCCUAAGGGUAAGCCGUCAGGUGAUCUCGAUGGACAAUCGGUUAAUAUUCCGAUACCGAUGCAUACUGCGACGGAGGGACGGAGAAGCGUAAGCUGCGCCAACAUACGGAAUUGUUGGUUAAAGAGCGUAGGUAUAGGACGACGUUAAUAGCGACGUUUUGCUGAAACUCGACAGUACCGAGCGGCUACGGCCAAUCGGAUAGUCAGCCCAAGCAAGCUUCCGAGAAAAACUUCUAAGCUUCAGGUAUGCAUCGCCCGUACCGUAAACCGACACAGGUGGUCGAGGAGAGUAUCCUCAGGUGCUUGAGUGAAUCACGGAUAAGGAACUAGGCAAAUUGACCCCGUAACUUAGGGAUAAGGGGUCCCCACGUGAGUGGGGCGCAGCGAAAAGGUCCAGGCAACUGUUUAACAAAAACAUAGGGCUAUGCUAAUUCGAGAGAAGACGUAUAUGGCCUGACACCUGCCCGGUGCUGGAAGGUUAAGAGGGGAUGUUAGCGCAAGCGAAGCAUUGAAUCGAAGCCCCAGUAAACGGCGGCCGUAACUAUAACGGUCCUAAGGUAGCGAAAUUCCUUGUCGGGUAAGUUCCGACCUGCACGAAUGGUGUAAUGAUCUGGACACUGUCUCGUCCGUGAGCUCAGUGAAAUUGUAGUCCCGGUGAAGAUGCCGGGUACCCGCAACGGGACGAAAAGACCCCGUGAACCUUUACUGCAGCUUAACGCUGAAUUUGGGUGCAUGAUGUGUAGGAUAGGCAGGAGACUGCGAAGCGGUACGCCAGGUAUCGUGGAGUCGCCGUUGAAAUACUGCCCUUUGUGUAUUUGAAUUCUAACCCUGUUCAGGGGACACCGUUUGGUGGGUAGUUUGACUGGGGUGGUCGCCU
RNAcentral lists this ribosomal RNA (2242 nucleotides) under human gut metagenome. Its description in RNAcentral is "bacterial LSU rRNA". It matches the Rfam family "Bacterial large subunit ribosomal RNA", at positions 1 to 2288 of the family's 2925-position model. The record is from RNAcentral.